UACGUUCCCCGGACCUUGCACACACCGCCCGUCAAGCCAUGGAAGCUGGGUGUACCUAAAGUCAGUAACCGCAAGGAGCUGCCUAGGGUAAAACUAGUAACUGGGCU
RNAcentral lists this ribosomal RNA (107 nucleotides) under uncultured bacterium. Its description in RNAcentral is "partial 16S ribosomal RNA". It matches the Rfam family "Bacterial small subunit ribosomal RNA", at positions 1367 to 1482 of the family's 1533-position model. The record is from RNAcentral.